GCUCUGCGCCCCGGCAUUGACUGUAUCAUGCUUAUCAGACCCAGUUAUUGGGAAGUGGUAAGGGCGCCAGAUGCCACGGAGAGACAUGCGUCAGAGGGUGGGAGGUGAGCCUCAUGCAAGUUCAGGUGGUGAUACUUCCAGGGCCCCGUGAUCCGGACCGUGGCGGCCAGCCCUCGCCCCAGCGUGAAAAACGAGUUGCUGUAACUUGUGCUGCCCGCUCGAAAAAUGGGGUGCCGUGCUUGGCUCCGGAGGCCAGAAGUCCAGCAUCCAGGCGUGGACACACCGUGCUCCCUCUGGAGGUCUUGGGGAGGGGCCUCCAGCUUCCGGAUGCCGUCAGUCUGGCCUUCCAGGGCUCGAAGCCGCAGCCCCUCGAAGUCUGUCCCUGCAGUCACGCGGCCUUCUCCCCUGGGGGUCUGUCUCCACGCUUCCCUCUUAUGAGAACACCAGCGUCCUGGACCGAGGCCCAACCCAAGGACCUCUUGGUGACUUGAUGACAUGGUCCCAAUCGCAGCCUGGAACAUGGAUGUGAUGUCUGGAGCUGUGGCAACCCUCUGUGAGCAUGAGGGAAGCCAAACAUGAUUGCAGAGAUGCUGGUCUGACAUGACUGGGCUGCUGAGCAGACUUGCCUGCCUCCAGGACUCUUGUUAUGGGAGAAAAAUAAACCC
This is a long non-coding RNA of Bubalus bubalis (water buffalo), 665 nucleotides long. RefSeq lists it as uncharacterized. The transcript has 3 exons. The record is from RefSeq and is a predicted model, not a curated record. NCBI's taxonomy places the organism in Eukaryota, Metazoa, Chordata, Mammalia, Artiodactyla, Bovidae.